CAAGGUGGCCGGACGGCCGCUGCCUCAGCAUUUGCUGAGAGAGAGGAAAGUCCGAGCUCCACCGGGCAGGAUGCCCGCUAACAGCGGGGCGGGGUGACCCGACGGAAAGCGCCACAGAAAAAUACCGCCUGCUUAGGCAGGUAAGGGUGAAAAGGCGAGGUAAGAGCUCACCGCCCCGGUAGCGAUAUCGGGGGCCAGGCAAACCCCAUCCGGAGCAAGGCCAAAUAGGGGGACAAGGCGCCCGGCCCGUCCCCGGGUUGGCCGCUCGACCCCGAUGGCAACAUCG
This 286-nucleotide RNase P RNA is filed under the name Dehalococcoidia bacterium. RNAcentral describes it as "partial RNase P RNA component class A". It matches the Rfam family "Bacterial RNase P class A", at positions 1 to 300 of the family's 367-position model. Rfam says of the family: Ribonuclease P (RNase P) is a ubiquitous endoribonuclease, found in archaea, bacteria and eukarya as well as chloroplasts and mitochondria. Its best characterised activity is the generation of mature 5'-ends of tRNAs by cleaving the 5'-leader elements of precursor-tRNAs. Cellular RNase Ps are ribonucleoproteins. Lineage: Bacteria; Bacillati; Chloroflexota; Dehalococcoidia. The record is from RNAcentral.